GAUGAAGAACGUAGCAAAAUGCGCUAAGUAAUGUGAAUUGCAGAAUUCAGUGAAUCAUCGAAUCUUUGAACGCACAUUGCGCCCGCCAGUAUUCUGGCGGGCAUGCCUGUUCGAGCGUCAUUUCAACCCUCAAGCACAGCUUGGUGUUGGGACUCGCGUUAAUUCGCGUUCCCCAAAUUGAUUGGCGGUCACGUCGAGCUUCCAUAGCGUAGUAGUAAAACCCUCGUUACUGGUAAUCGUCGCGGCCACGCCGUUAAACCCCAACUUCUGAAUGUUGACCUCGGAUCAGGUAGGAAUACCCGCUGAACUUAAGCAUAUCAAUAAGCGGAGGA
Molecule: unclassified non-coding RNA, 332 nt
Filed under: soil metagenome
Description: partial contains 5.8S ribosomal RNA, internal transcribed spacer 2, and large subunit ribosomal RNA
Rfam family: 5.8S ribosomal RNA (bases 1-120)
Source: RNAcentral